Molecule: long non-coding RNA, 2350 nt
Organism: Seriola aureovittata
Lineage: Eukaryota; Metazoa; Chordata; Actinopteri; Carangiformes; Carangidae
Exons: 3
Source: RefSeq, a predicted model, not a curated record
CAAAGACAAAAGGAGAGGAGGGUUGACACGUGAAACUCCUUGAGCAGAUGACCCUUGAGAAUUGACUUGUUUUAAAUGCUGUUUUCGCGUCAGCAGGAGAGACAGAGAGAGAGGGAGCGAGAUGUACUCUGUCUGUCAGCCAUAUCGAUGACAUGACACAACCUGAAUGUGAGAGUGAGGACAAAAAGACGGAGCGAGGGAGAAAAAAGAAGGUUGACAGGCAAGAUGGGGGGGAAGAGAGAUGAAGAGUGAGCGAGAGGGAGGAAAAGAGGGAGAGGAGGAAAAACGAGAAAGAAGACAGAUGGCUCCUAUUCAUUAUGCAGUAUCUGUCUACUCUCACUUAAAUUUAGUUCUCUCCUCCUCUGCAUCUCAGCAUCGUACUCGUGUCCUGCCUUUGUUUGUAACAUUUAACCAACGACGAAUCGAUCCUGCUGUAUUAACAGAUUAGAUUGAGAAGUUAAAUCCAGCGGAGUGGCAAAUGCAGCAGAGUUCAGACAGCCAGAAACCAAAGUGGGUUUAUCCUCAACUCGAGGAGGGUGUCAAUGUCGUGGGCUGCAUCCUGAGAAGCUGCAAAGACAGAGACGACGUGAUGAGGAGACGGACAGGAGGGCAAGAUUUUACUAUUUAGGAAAAGCUUCCUUUACAUGAGAAACAACAUUUUCCACUUAAUAUACUUCAUUCAUCUGCACAGUAGUGUCAGUGUUACCACGAUGAUGGCAGUGCUGCUGGCCUUGUGAAAAAAAUGUUGUUAAUCAAUUAAUCAUUUAUCAAACCAAAAUGCCAAAUAUUCUCUUGUUCCAGCUUCUAAAAUGUUUGGAUUAACUGUGUUUCUGUAUUUUUUUAAAUAUCAUUUCAGACUGUUGGUUGAACAAAACAAAUGAUUCCGAUAUAAACAAAUACUAUAAAUAUAUUAUAAAUAUUCAUUUAUAUGUCAUUGUGGUGUGGUGUUGUGUUGUCAGGGUGAAAUGUAGAGCUUAGAUGUUUCCUCAUGUUUUUGGGAUGUUUUGUGUAAAGCAACUGUCUAGCUUUGUGUCAAAUUGUUUGUGUUUCUGUGAUGUUUUUAUUCUACUUCAUGUGAAAACGGACUGUAGCACUGUGCCCAAGACAAAUUUCACUUUGGGGACAUUAAAGUUUUCUCUAACUCUAAACCAGGGAACAAUCAGUGCCUUAUAAAGAGAACAAUCUGACACUGUAAAUACAGAUUUGUUAAGACAGUCAAUUCGGGGGCUCCCUGGAAGCUGAGAUCAAAUCCAGCCCGGGCCCUUUGCUGCAUGCGAUGUCUUUCCUAUCUCUCUCACUGCAUCUGUCAUAAUAAGAGCAAAAAAAAAAAAAAGACAGAAAGUAAUGCCCCAAAAAAUAAAGCAGUCAGUAUAGUGGUGUGAAACUUCAGCAGCCGAAAGCAAAAUCCGCAAGAUAUCAGCACCUAUAUCACUUAGGAAGGAAACCCUGUCUGCAACACCAAGGAGGGGAGAUAUCAGUCAGCAGAAACCAACAAGAAAAUGGCUUAAAGUUACAGAAAAAAAAGCAGAAAGAGGAAUCAAAUGAUUUGUAUAGUAGCACAAGACGAAAGGCUUUUAAAAAAAAAAACUGCUGAAAUAAACAUCCAAUAUUAUCUACAGCUGCAGAGAAGAUGAUUUUCAUGAAAAGAGGGAGCAAAGGCGUCUUUUAUGACAACAGCCUUCAUAACAGCAAGAGUUGGAAUGACUGUUGCAGCAGGUCAAAGACUAAUGGAGGAAAUAAAAUGAGAGGACUGUGCAGCAAGUCGGCCUGAAUGACUGUGCCAGUUGAGAAAAGCAGAUAAUCAUUGAAGGAGACAGUUAAAACAGAACGAGCAACAGUCCCUUUCAAUUUGUCAAAUAACUCCUCAUGAAGAGAGCAGCGGUAGCUUUCAAUAGCAGGAGCUGGAUAAUUAUGUGAAAGAGACAUAUGGGCAGGAAACAGGGUAUGAUCGCGGGGCUUCCUCCAGAUUUCCACAGUGGAUACUCCGCAGCAGCUCACCGCCUUCAAACGUAGGAAAUACGCACUCUUUGCUUUAGCCAAGCCACUUUCACAUAAUGCCAAAUUCAUGGGGUUCAGACGUAAAUCUAAAUCCAAAGGAUAGAGCGUCUUUGGAAAUAAGCCAGCUCCGGCACAUAGGCCUCAUCAGUGUCAAGGGGAAAGAUUUAAACUGACACAUCUGUGAAAUGACGCAAGAAUGCCAGGAUAUUUUAAAUACAAGUAAGACACGGGACCAAAUUCAGUUAAACAAGAGAAGCCGUAUCUUUCUUUUUUUUUUCAAUCGCAAAUAUUCUUUAAAUUCUAUAUUUAGAAAUAAAACUAUACAUCUGUUAACAUUUGGCUUUUUAGUGCC